UGGGGAAUCUUGGACAAUGGGCGCAAGCCUGAUCCAGCCAUGCCGCGUGGAUGAUGAAGGCCUUAGGGUUGUAAAAUCCUUUCGCCGAGGACGAUAAUGACGGUACUCGGAGAAGAAGCUCCGGCUAACUUCGUGCCAGCAGCCGCGGUAAUACGAAGGGGGCUAGCGUUGUUCGGAUUUACUGGGCGUAAAGCGCGUGUAGGCGGGUCGUUAAGUUGGGGGUGAAAUCCCGAGGCUCAACCUCGGAACUGCCUUCAAAACUGGCGACCUGGACCUAAGUAGAGGCAAGUGGAAUUGCGAGUGUAGAGGUGAAAUUCGUAGGAUAUUCGCAGGAACACCAGUGGCGAAGGCGACUUGCUGGACUUAUGGUGACGCUGAGACGCGAAAGCGUGGGGAGCAAACGGGAUUAGAUACCCUAGUAGUCCCUGAGCGGGCUGGCAAGGCGCAU
Molecule: ribosomal RNA, 448 nt
Filed under: uncultured bacterium
Lineage: Bacteria
Description: bacterial SSU rRNA
Rfam family: Bacterial small subunit ribosomal RNA
Source: RNAcentral